AAUGUAAUGGAAGAGUGGUAUUAAAACCUAUCUAGACUUAUCUUAUCAAGUGAAAUUUUAUGAAAUGUAGAGUAGGGAUGUCUGGUAGCUGGAACCCUUUAAACUCAAAAAUAGAAAUAUACUGUAGACACCACAACUUUACUUGGUCAGUGCCCAGGUCUCACUGGCAUGGAGCAUAGUGCUCUGCACACAGGUGCUAAACACUCGGCCGCGUGUCUUGUAUGACAGGUGACAUGAUGAGAGAACUGGUAGCAGUUCCCUGAUUUUUUUUCCCACGCAGUUUUUGCACACGUGGUGGUUGCAAGAUCACAUCCACCUGCUGUUGAAAGCAUGUCGCCUAGGUAGCAAAAGGAACCUACCACCCCCAGCUUGUCGGGUCCAACUGGAACUUCACUCUCUGGUCUGCCGUCAAGUGGGCGAGCAUUUCUUGCGCACCUGAAGUUAGGGUCGAUCAGCAGGCGCUUGUGCCCACUGCAUUUCUAGUGCACCCAGUGCAUUACAGAAUAUACUAUUGCUACCUACCCCUGUACGACAGACAGCGCAUGGGAAUUCGCCCAGAGUCCUGAAGUUGGUGAAGACCAAUACCACAGAUCAUGGUUCUUGGUUUUGCCUGCAUUCACUUUCAGUCCUUUCCUUUCCAUGCCAGGAACCUCUUGACACAGUGAGUCAGCAAUGAUAAGCAGGUCAUCUGCAUAUACUGUAGGUCCUCCCAGGGAACUCCAGCACAGAACUCGUGUGAAAGGGCUUCAAGCACGACGAUGAAGAGCAGAGGACUGAGUCCCGAACCCUGAUGGACUCCGAUCUUUACAGCAAAUUCUUCACUGUAGCCGUUACCAACAUGGAUACGGCUCCGAGCAUUCAACAAAGCAAGUGUUGUACGGACCUACUGCACAAUGACAAUUAAAGUCUAUUCUAUCAAAUACAGUGCUAUUCCCUCAUCCAGCAAUACAGGAGAUAUUAAGUACUGAUUUGAAUUUCUCUAACCAGUGUGUUCCUAAAAAAAUUAUCUGGAUAAUCAGUGCUGUGAUUCCCAAUUCAUUUCCCUGAAGACAUAUUCCAAACCUUUUGCUGGCGCAGUUUCGAAGUAAUUCCUACAGCACGUAACAGUUAUAUUGUCUGCGUUUUUGACGGCUCAUCACGGUGGCAUGGCAUGGUGCAGACAAAAAAGAAGGUGAUGAUCCACUUGCGAGUCUGAGAUAUCGGGAUCUCUGGACAAACAGAACCAACCACCCAAAGGGGAAACCACAAACGGAGACAAGGAGGGAGCCGUCAAAACAAACAGGAAAACGAGGAUUGGAAAGAAACCAUAAUGUAACACAGGGAGCAGGCAAAGGGAAACCAAACAUAUAUACUGCAGUGACAUAUAUGCAUAAGCAUGAGCACCACAACUAACUGAAGAACAGAGUACAGGCAAGCACUUAAAUAUUAACAGACAACCAGACUAACGAGGAGGCAGACUUAACCAAUUAGCAUGAUACGGGGAAACAGGCAACAGGUGGAGGAAUUUACAAUAAUGAGCACAGGAUUAGGAAAUUAUAACUGAAACUAAGAACAGUAAUCACACACUGGGUAUUACUACCCUAGGAAUAAUUAAUAUGCAACCAAAAUACAUACAGGAGCACAAGUAAACUAGACACAUGCAGGGCAAACCUAAGACCGGAAACCAAAACAAAACAGAACAGGAGGAAACAGGAAACUAAUAAAUACCGAUGGCCAGUAGUGAUGGGAAUUCCGGCUCUUUUAAGAGAACCGGCUCUUUCGGCUCCCAAGUGGCUCUUCAGAUUUUUUUGGUGCUUAAAUGAAUUUAUUACCAAACAUAAUGUAAAAUUGUUACUGAAAUGAAUUACUAUGGUUGGAAAUGACGUGUGAUCAUUUUAGCCAAUUCCUCAUCAAUUGUUUUCUGUCUUACUGGAGUCAUAGCUUUUUGCACAAACGGUCUCAUAGAGCUCUAGGUUGUAGGUCUAGGUGGUUGUGGUGCUGUACUGGAUGACGGUGUAGACAUUGACUGUCUCAUAGAGCUCUAGGUUGUAGGUCUAGGUGGUUGUGGUGCUGUACUGGAUGACGGUGUAGACAUUGACUGUCUCAUAGAGCUCUAGGUUGUAGGUCUAGGUGGUUGUGGUGCUGUACUGGAUGACGGUGUAGACAUUGACAAACUGGCACUUUCAACAGUUGCAGUAGAAAAACUGUCUCUUUCAUUAGUAGCAGGUUCAUUUGCUUGCCUUCUUUCUUCCCACUGCACUGAUGGAUGUACAGUUCUCAUGUGCCAAUGCAGGUUAUUUGUAGAGCCUGUUCGAUAUGAGAUUUUAACCCCUGCACGCUCUACACUCUGCCUUUGUAUUAUCAAUGUAAUUGACAUGUAUCCAAAUUUUACUCCGUUUCCUGCAGUCAUUCAUUUUGUCGCGCGCGUCUCCUUCCCUCCUGUUUCUCUGUCUGUGCUUGCGAUUGCUGUAUUUGUCUGUGAGCGCGUUCGACUUCACGCAGCAGUUUGCAGUGCUGGCUUAAAGCAAUACAUCAUGGUUAGAUGAUGCGCUGCAAAACGUCACCAUGUCACAUGGUACAAAAACCUCACGAGAGCAAGACGACUUAAGACUUAAUUAAAACGUUUCAAUGGAACCGUUUUCAGUUAAACCUUUUAAAGAUCUUAAGUGUUACAUGCAUUACAACAUGUUUAUUGGUUGCAUGGUUAUAGCAUUAAUGGUGACUGUUGCACCAAAAAAUAAAAAAAAAAGACGGUUAUAAGGGAGCUCAGUUUUUGCACGCAUUUGUAUCACUGUGUCAUGGGAGGGUGGUUAUGCUUUGGAACAUUGGGGAAAAGGCACCAAAGUCGCUGUUACCAACGAAACUCCCAAAGGACCAGACUUCCUUUAUGCUCUGCAGCCAUGUAAUCCCAGCGGCUCUGCAGGUCUUAUCAGCCUCGGCUGUGUUGCAGGCGGCUUCUCACCAGUGGAUUCUUUGAGCUUUAGCUGGAAGGGCAGCAGCGGUACCCAGCUGUCUGACAUCUAUCAGUACUCAGCGGUCAAUAACAAUGGAGUCAGCAUGGUGGUCAGUGAGAUCCGCGUCAAUGCGGCAGACUGGGGUGGUCAAGCUCAUUACCAAUGUACUGCACAACACCAAUCCAGUAAAAAGGAGCUAACUGGGAGAAUGGACAGGCUAGUUCCACCAACACCCCCAACCGUGAGUCUUGUGACUCUGCCCGGGGGGGAGAGCCGUGUAGAUGCGCUAAUGUGUGUCAUUCAGGACUUCCACCCCAGGAGCGUCAGUGUGACAUGGAAAGCUGGGGACAGCACUGUCUCAGGACAGACCUGGCAGCCGGAGAAAGGACAGACAGGACUGUACUCAGCCAGCAGUGUGCUGAAACUGGACAGCAGCGUCUGGGAGAGUAACACUGUGUACACAUGUGAGGUGCAGCACGGUGCUGAUAAAACCACUAAGUCCAUCAGUAAAGCCCUGUCCAGUAGGUCCUGUUUGGAUGUGACCCUGAAGCCCCCAAAAGUGAAAGAGAUGUUCACAAAUAACAGGGCUGUGCUGGAAUGCAUCAUCACAGGAGAGGAAGAGGCAGUAAAAGAAGCUGAAGUGACCUGGAUGUUGGACAGUGUACCGGUGACAGAGGAGAUUACACAGACCAGUACAGAAAAGGCAGGUCAUCUCUUCAGAAGGAGCAGCAUCCUGACUCGGGCAGUGAAGGACUGGGAAGGUGGCAAGACUGUGGAGUGCAGUGUGCAGAAGAAGGGUGGACCUACUAUCACUAAGAUCCUCAGAUUUGGGCAAAUACGUACGACGAGACCUACAGUCUCCAUUCAAACACCAUCUCCUGAAGACCUUAAUGGAAAAAGUGAAUUCUUCCUGGUCUGCCUGGUAACAGGCUUCUACCCUGAGGAAAUAUACAUCAUCUGGCAAGUAGAUGGGGGGCAGUAUGAGGAGGGUAUUACUGGAGAGCCACUGAAGACUGGGGAUAAAUACUCUGUCACCAGUCUGUUUAGGGUCUCAAAAGAGGACUGGGACAAAGGCAAGAUGUACAGCUGCAGUGCCAGACACGCAACUCAAAAGACAGACGAGACACCUGCAUCGAAUCCUGUGUCCAAAUUAACGGUCUCCCCCCCAGGAAAUGAGUUGGACCUACAUUGUGCACUCAGCUGUAAUGAGGGAAAUGAGGAAGAGGAUGAGUUCAGCAGCCUGUGGUCCACAGCCUCCUCCUUCAUCAUCCUCUUCCUCUUCAGCAUGGUCUACAGUGCUUUUCUCAGCCUUAACAAGGUCCCGCAAAGACGUAGCUACAGCGCAGCGCCAAAACACGCAUGGCGUAGAGAGCUGACAGCACCAGCCUGCCUGCUUACAGCUGUGGAGGAGAGGCGGGACUGAGCAGCGCCGCGUCUUAAGACAUGUUGAAGAACAAUGCAGGUUCUGUGCUCAGACGUGACCAGAUGGGUCGAGCAGAGCCAGCAGGACCUGCCCAGCUUUCGGCCUCAACACUGAUCUGUCGUUCCUGUUGUCGAUUAUUAAGAUAAACUUGGGAAAGUGUGUAUUAACGCCCACAUUCCACCCUCCGUGCCACCCUGUGCCAGCCCAUGUCAAAUUUUCACUAUUUAUGAAGCACAGAGCACAGAACAGAGCCUGUUGUUCACAGCAAUAAAUGAAAACUGAUAUAAUAACAUUGUUUUAUUCAGAAAAAAACAUUUUUUACUAUUUUGAAAGUUACUGUUGUAUUUUUCAGGCAAAGCAGUGAUGUUAACUUCAGGGGGAUAAAAGAAAAAACAAGAAAAAAUAUCAGUUAUUAUACUGAUUAGACUUUUCCUUUAUCUGGAUGCUUACGUAUCGAUAAUAAUGUUUGUUAGAUGUCUUCAGAAUGUGUAUAUUCUCUAUGUAGAUUAAUUAUAUGUUAUUAAGUUUGUUUUGUCUAUUAAUGGCUGAUUUUAUCUACAGCAGAUACAUGGAAUUCUCACCUUUGGGUUGUUCUGAUACAACAAUUAAUUAUUUGAAGUAUAAAACUUAUUCUAUUUGAGUUACUCUUUCUUUGGUUAAAUGCAUGAAAACAAUCAUAUGCAGUCAGUGUAAAUGUCUCAAUUAUAAACAUAGCGGAUAUCAGCUAAAAUGUAAGCAGCUGAAAUGUGUACUCACAUUUACGUUACUUAACAUUACACCAUAAUAUUUCCUUUUCUCUUCUACUGCAAUGUUAAUGUUACUAAUUUUUUAAAUCUCUGGAAUUCAAAUAAUUGUUUUUUUCAGUUGAAAUAUUUCUGUACUCAGUGUCUCUAUACAAAUUAAUCUACAAAUAAAUCAUUGUUGGUACAAACUGUCA
Brienomyrus brachyistius is the source of this 5293-nucleotide non-coding RNA. Lineage: Eukaryota; Metazoa; Chordata; Actinopteri; Osteoglossiformes; Mormyridae. The record is from the annotation of a RefSeq genome assembly.